RNAcentral lists this ribosomal RNA (300 nucleotides) under Ctenophora environmental sample. Its description in RNAcentral is "partial Bacterial large subunit ribosomal RNA". It matches the Rfam family "Bacterial large subunit ribosomal RNA", at positions 1974 to 2272 of the family's 2925-position model. Lineage: Eukaryota; Metazoa; Ctenophora. The record is from RNAcentral.
GGGUAAGUUCCGACCCGCACGAAUCGUGUAACGAUCCGAGCACUGUCUCAACGUGGAUCUCGGCGAAGUUGUAGUUCCGGUGAAAAUGCCGGAUACCCGCAGUAGGACGGAAAGACCCCAUGAACCUUUACUGUAAUCUGAUAUUGGUAUUUGGUUAUUCAUGUGUAGGAUAGGUGGGAGACUGUGAAGCGGUCGCGUCAGCGGCUGUGGAGUCAUUGGUGAAAUACCACCCUUGUGUAGUUGAAUAUCUAACCGUAUUCCGUGAAACCGGUAACGGGACAGUGUCAGAGGGUCAGUUUG